GGCGUGGCAUCAUCAAGAUUCACGUACAAAAUGCAAAAGCUUUUUGAGGAUGAGAAUCUUGAUGAUGCUGCAUCGGCAA
Molecule: microRNA precursor, 79 nt
Filed under: Cynara cardunculus (cardoon)
Lineage: Eukaryota; Viridiplantae; Streptophyta; Magnoliopsida; Asterales; Asteraceae
Description: miR172 stem-loop (cca-MIR172)
Gene: cca-MIR172
Source: miRBase by way of RNAcentral